GACGAACGCUGGCGGCGUGCUUAACACAUGCAAGUCGAACGGAAAGGCCCUGCUUUUGUGGGGUGCUCGAGUGGCGAACGGGUGAGUAACACGUGAGUAACCUGCCCUCGACUUUGGGAUAACUUCAGGAAACUGGGGCUAAUACCGGAUAGGAGCUCCUGCUGCAUGGUGGGGGUUGGAAAGUUUCGGCGGUUGGGGAUGGACUCGCGGCUUAUCAGCUUGUUGGUGGGGUAGUGGCUUACCAAGGCUUUGACGGGUAGCCGGCCUGAGAGGGUGACCGGCCACAUUGGGACUGAGAUACGGCCCAGACUCCUACGGGAGGCAGCAGUGGGGAAUAUUGCACAAUGGGCGGAAGCCUGAUGCAGCAACGCCGCGUGCGGGAUGACGGCCUUCGGGUUGUAAACCGCUUUCGCCUGUGACGAAGCGUGAGUGACGGUAAUGGGUAAAGAAGCACGGGCUAACUACGUG
RNAcentral lists this ribosomal RNA (468 nucleotides) under uncultured bacterium. RNAcentral's name for it is "partial 16S ribosomal RNA". It matches the Rfam family "Bacterial small subunit ribosomal RNA", at positions 28 to 507 of the family's 1533-position model. The record is from RNAcentral.